RNAcentral lists this non-coding RNA (25 nucleotides) under Mus musculus (house mouse). Lineage: Eukaryota; Metazoa; Chordata; Mammalia; Rodentia; Muridae. The record is from RNAcentral.
UGGAAGCAAGUUCUGUCCUGUUAUC